Sphaeramia orbicularis (orbiculate cardinalfish) is the source of this 334-nucleotide long non-coding RNA. RefSeq lists it as uncharacterized. The transcript is spliced from 3 exons. The record is from RefSeq and is a predicted model, not a curated record. NCBI's taxonomy places the organism in Eukaryota, Metazoa, Chordata, Actinopteri, Kurtiformes, Apogonidae.
UGCUAGUGCUGACACUCAUUUGUCCUUCACCAAUAUCUCCAGUGUGUCUCAUGGUCUCAAUCAGCCCAGUGCAUCUGGCAGUAGUUUGUCCAGCACGUCCUACAGUGCAUACCUCGACCUAUUUGAGGAAGAAUACCACUCUGAUGACCCUGAUCUCCAGGAAGCCAUUUCAAGGUCUUUGGAUUGCAGAGUAAAUGAGAGUGAUUCAAGGAUGGCUUUAGAGACAAUUGCCGAACAGAUUUCUUCAAGGGUCAUUGAUGCCUGCACUGUACACUUCAAUAUCAUAAGAAGAAAUGUGUGGGAUGGUGCAUCCAGAGCAGAUCAAAUUUUUCAC